Molecule: long non-coding RNA, 216 nt
Organism: Rhea pennata
Lineage: Eukaryota; Metazoa; Chordata; Aves; Rheiformes; Rheidae
Exons: 5
Source: RefSeq, a predicted model, not a curated record
GCUUAGAUGGAAAGCCGGGACCCCGGGGUGUUGAUGGCCCAGCUGGUCCGCAUGGCCCUGCAGGUCCUAAAGGAGAGAGAGGUGAAAAGGGAACUGUAGGUGACCCCGGACCCAGAGGACCAUAUGGCUUGCCUGGCAAAGAUGGCGAGCCUGGCCUUGAUGGUUUCCCUGGUCCUCGAGGAGAAAAGGGUGAUAUAGGAGAAAAGGGAGAAAAGG